Long non-coding RNA from Mauremys reevesii (Reeves's turtle), 3202 nucleotides. RefSeq lists it as uncharacterized. NCBI's taxonomy places the organism in Eukaryota, Metazoa, Chordata, Testudines, Geoemydidae. The transcript has 4 exons. The record is from RefSeq and is a predicted model, not a curated record.
CCUGACACUCACCGAGCCGCCCCAGCGCGGGCGUGGGUGGAACCCGGAGCCGCCUCUCCCCGCUCGGCUCGAGGCAGCGCUGCAGCCGGAGCCCCCGCGGAGGGGACGGACCGAUCUUGGCAGCACCGGGCCGCCGCAGGGAACAGGCUGCAACCACCAGGGAGACCGUGCGGGCGUGCGAAUGACCCGGAUGUACCGGGGGGCAGCAAGCAGCUCCUGGGCCGUGCAGCAGUAAGGCUUACUGGAGAAAUGCAGCACAAUUCAAUACAAACUUCAUCAAACCAAGGGAGCCAGUGGGAACAGGAGCCACAGUGAUGUAUUAAACACAUGCCCGAUCCUACAAGGAUCCUUCAGCAUCUCUUGGGUGGAAAGAUCCUAGAAGGAAAAUCCAUUACGUGCUCCUUACCAAGCAAUGUAAGGAUCUUGUCUAAAGAAACAUACUCUAGACCGUAUCAGCAACGUUUUAAAAGGUGCUUACUGGUCGCGAGCCUGAUCCUGUUUCUACUGGACCCAGCGAACUCGUUGGCAUGCCUGUUUGAGUAACACACCCCAGAGCUGCGAUUACUUCUCUCUCCUGAAACUGGAGAAUCUGCAUAAUAGACAUUUCACUGUUCCCACUGCACAACUACCUACUUGAAAGGCUUCUUGCACCUUCCUCUAUAAAACUUGGUACUGGCCACUCAAAUAGCAGACCAGAUGGACUAUCCGGUCCAAACCAACAUGGUAAUCAAAUCCCAGAUCCCUUCAGAAUUUAUUUCCUCUUAGACCAAAAAAAAUACAGGGUUAGUGAUCCUGCUGUGAUGAAAGCAGAUACCAUUUGAUGUUUCCUAUUCCUAUCAGGCAACUGAUGACAUGGCAAACACAAGCCCUAUUCCUCUUGUCUUUUUAAAAAGGGACUUUAAAAGAAUGAUCCAUUUAUAGAUAACUCAUUUAUUCCCUGGACAAGCUGGGAAUCAGAAUAUGAAGUUCUAACCACAAACCAGGCAAAUCAACUAGCUAUAAUUAUUUUGUUAAUAUCCUCUGUAUUUCACCACCAUUCCUUUUGAAAUGCACUGUAGCUUCUUCCUUAAGAAAGAGAGGUGGCUUUUGCAUACAGAAGUCGUGCUUGCAGCUCACACCCUGCUGCUGUCCCUUCUCAGACAGGGAAGUACAAAGCCUCAAAAGCAGAAGUGCUUUUCUUCUCACAGGCCAGUCCAAUACAUUUUUGGCUCUCAGGCUGAACUUCUAGAUGGGUUAGCCAAUAACAGGUGCAAGAUUUGCAUUAAUAAUAACAAAGAUUGAAAGGUCUCAAACCCGGCAUCUGCUGUAACAUAAGGGGAUAAUCUGCUUUUAUUCAAAGGAAAUUUAUCCAGAUCAGUCAGUAAUAAAAUGGCCCUCCAACAUCAUGUCAGUCACUUCAGUCUGAUACUUGGAGAAUCACAAACAGCCUCCAAGGAGCAUGCACACACCCAUGCAUGCCUGAUGAAACAUUAGCCUGCAACUCCUACUAACUGACAAAUGGCAGUCUUUUGAAUCAUCAAUUAAUAAUGCUGGGCUUCAAACUGGGACUUACUGGAAAUCGCAGUGACUGAAACUAGGAACAUUAUCCACUCACUGGUGUUUCCUUGGGACUGACAUUUGCCGUGAUUAUCUUUAUUUGCAAGGGAAGAACAUGAAUAGUACACAAGAGAUACCAGAGUUCUAACCUUAUUACUUUUCAUCUUCAAUUCACUUUACAAACAUUAACUAGCUGAUCUCCACAACCACAUCUGUCCGGUAGGUAAACAGAAUUAAUCCCAUUUUACAAGUGGGGAAACUGAGGCAGACAAGCCAAGUGACCUUAAGGUCACAGAGGGAGUCACUAUCAAGGUUUAAAAGCAUAACUCAAAUUCCUGCCUCCCAAUCCUAUGCUUAGACCACUAGGACAUCUUCCCCAUAGAAGACUAUGCCUCUUUAAGUCCUAUUUCCACUGAAGGUCCUUUUAGUCCGAUUCUUCUGUCAUGUCCUCUGGUGUAAGUCAGGGUAACUCCACUGACUUCAGUGGAAACACAUUAGUGUAAAACAGGUGUAAGAGGAGAAUCAGGCCCCAGGGAUCUGCAAAUGGAUGGGUCCAGCCACUCCCUUCUUUGUAAUUUACUUCUUUGAGCCAUGAGCAGUCCCCAUCAAAUCCACUCUAGUGCCAAUGGCUGAGCUUUCCAUUCUUUGUACCUUAUUUUAUUGCUUGAUCAACAAGCUAAGGAUUGUGGGCUAUUGAUUUGUAUGGUUAUUUUAAGCCCAAGGCAGGGAGAAGAAAAUCCCUUUAUUGUAAACAAACCUUUUGAUUGAUUAUUUGCGUAUUUAUGAACUUGCUUUUUUGCCAUCUCCAUCGAGUGCAGGCAGCAAGGGCUCAGCAUUUUGUAAAGAAGCUCUACAAAAAAAUCAGUUGAAUUGAAUGCAGCAAACCCCUUUCUUUCCCUAACUCUGCCCCAAUUCCUCUGAGAAGCUCCAAGCCAUUCUUGUCCUGGUCUUCACUUGCCAGUUUUGAGAGUUUCAAACAAACGUGUCUGAGAUCACAUUUCCAAAGAGCUCUGACUGAGGCACCUUUCCUUACUGCUCCAACAAAAAGGAAAUCUACUGGUUUGAUUACUUUGUUUUAUGCAUCAUUUGCCAUAAUCCUACUCAACCUCCUGCACAUCAUCUGCCUUUGCCCCCAGAAAACUCUGGGACUUUUGCAAUGAAAAAUAUAGCUCUCCACAUGGACAUUUCAACAGGUCAUGGUGUCCCCCACUCUAGCUAAGUUAAUGGGCUUUGAAAUCCUCUGCUAAAAAAUGGUGCUGGAAUACGACUGGGUUAAUAAAACUGCAUGAACACCCCAGUGCCGUGGGUAGAUCUGAGCCCAUGUUGCAGCCAGGAACUGUGACUUGCCCAGGCACAGGAAAGCAGCAGCAAAGCCAGGAAUCCCCAAGAGUCCUGAACCCAGGAGCUUCCCUACUCUUCCAACAGAAUAGAGAAAUUCUGAACUCAAGUGCCAAGUGUAAGAGAAAGAUCACCACGCAAGCCCAGGGGCUGCUUGUUUGUCUCUUUUUAAGAGGAGGAGGGAGUCAUGCCAGUGCCAUAAAAAGAAAACCUUUCCACAUCAACCUAACAGCUAGAGAUAAAAGUGUCCUGGGUUUUCCCUGUGUGGAAUUUCCACCACUCUGACAUUUGCAAAACCUCUUCCUUCCCUCCCCACCCCACCCCCAGU